RNAcentral lists this ribosomal RNA (488 nucleotides) under uncultured bacterium. Its description in RNAcentral is "bacterial SSU rRNA". It matches the Rfam family "Bacterial small subunit ribosomal RNA", at positions 35 to 518 of the family's 1533-position model. The record is from RNAcentral.
GCUGGCGGCGUGCCUAACACAUAGCAAGUCGAACGAAGCGAUGGGGAACGGAGGAUUCGUCAAAGGGAACCAUGACUAGUGGCGGACGGGUGAGUAAUGUAUGAGCAACCUGCCUUCAGAGGGGGACAACAGUUGGAAACGACUGCUAAUACCGCAUAACAUAUUUGGGUGGCAUCACCUGGAUAUCAAAGGAGCAAUCCGCUGAAAGAUGGGCUCAUAUCUGAUUAGCUAGUUGGCGGGGUAACGGCCCACCAAGGCGACGAUCAGUAGCCGGACUGAGAGGUUGAACGGCCACAUUGGGACUGAGAUACGGCCCAGACUCCUACGGGAGGCAGCAGUGGGGAAUAUUGGGCAAUGGGCGAGAGCCUGACCCAAGCAACGCCGCGUGAAGGAAGAAGGUCUUCGGAUUGUAAACUUCUUUUAUGAGGGACGAAGGACGUGACGGUACCUCAUGAAUAAGCCACGGCUAACUACGUGCCAGCAGCAGC